Molecule: ribosomal RNA, 515 nt
Filed under: uncultured bacterium
Lineage: Bacteria
Description: partial 16S ribosomal RNA
Rfam family: Bacterial small subunit ribosomal RNA
Source: RNAcentral
GAUGAACGCUGGCGGCGUGCCUAAUACAUGCAAGUCGAGCGAAUGGCUUAAGAGCUUGCUCUUAUGAAGUUAGCGGCGGACGGGUGAGUAACACGUGGGUAACCUGCCCAUAAGACUGGGAUAACUCCGGGAAACCGGGGCUAAUACCGGAUAACAUUUUGAACCGCAUGGUUCGAAAUUGAAAGGCGGCUUCGGCUGUCACUUAUGGAUGGACCCGCGUCGCAUUAGCUAGUUGGUGAGGUAACGGCUCACCAAGGCAACGAUGCGUAGCCGACGUGAGAGGGUGAUCGGCCACGCUGGGAACGAGACACGGCCCAGAGUCCUACGGGAGGCAGGAGUAGGGAAUCUUCCGCAAUGGACGAAAGUCUGACGGAGCAACGCCGCGUGAGUGAUGAAGGCUUUCGGGUCGUAAAACUCUGUUGUUAGGGAAGAACAAGUGCUAGUUGAAUAAGCUGGCACCUUGACGGUACCUAACCAGAAAGCCACGGCUAACUACGUGCCAGCCGCCGCAGUAA